This 497-nucleotide ribosomal RNA is filed under the name uncultured bacterium. RNAcentral describes it as "partial 16S ribosomal RNA". It matches the Rfam family "Bacterial small subunit ribosomal RNA", at positions 28 to 507 of the family's 1533-position model. The record is from RNAcentral.
GAUGAACGCUGGCGGCGUGCCUAAUACAUGCAAGUCGAGCGAACGGACGAGAAGCUUGCUUCUCUGAUGUUAGCGGCGGACGGGUGAGUAACACGUGGAUAACCUACCUAUAAGACUGGGAUAACUUCGGGAAACCGGAGCUAAUACCGGCUAAUAUUUUGAACCGCAUGGUUCAAAAGUGAAAGACGGUCUUGCUGUCACUUAUAGAUGGAUCCGCGCUGCAUUAGCUAGUUGGUAAGGUAACGGCUUACCAAGGCAACGAUGCAUAGCCGACCUGAGAGGGUGAUCGGCCACACUGGAACUGAGACACGGUCCAGACUCCUACGGGAGGCAGCAGUAGGGAAUCUUCCGCAAUGGGCGAAAGCCUGACGGAGCAACACCGCGUGAGUGAUGAAGGUCUUCGGACCGUAAAACUCUGUUAUUAGGGAAGAACAUAUGUGGAAGUAACUGUGCACAUCUUGACGGUACCUAAUCAGAAAGCCACGGCUAACUACGUG